ACGAACGCUGGCGGCGUGCUUAACACAUGCGAGUCGAGCGGUAAGGCCCUUUCGGGGGUACACGAGCGGCGAACGGGUGAGUAACACGUGGGUGACCUGCCCUCAGCUCUGGGAUAAGCCUGGGAAACUGGGUCUAAUACUGGAUAUGACUCCACGGUGCAUGUCGUGGGGUGGAAAGCCUUGUGCGGCUGAGGAUGGGCCCGCGGCCUAUCAGCUUGUUGGUGGGGNGAUGGCCUACCAAGGCGACGACGGGUAGCCGGCCUGAGAGGGCGACCGGCCACACUGGGACUGAGACACGGCCCAGACUCCUACGGGAGGCAGCAGUGGGGAAUCUUGCGCAAUGGGCGAAAGCCUGACGCAGCGACGCCGCGUGAGGGAUGACGGCCUGGUGUAACG
RNAcentral lists this ribosomal RNA (396 nucleotides) under uncultured bacterium. RNAcentral describes it as "bacterial SSU rRNA". It matches the Rfam family "Bacterial small subunit ribosomal RNA", at positions 29 to 430 of the family's 1533-position model. The record is from RNAcentral.